This 253-nucleotide ribosomal RNA is filed under the name uncultured bacterium. RNAcentral's name for it is "partial 16S ribosomal RNA". It matches the Rfam family "Bacterial small subunit ribosomal RNA", at positions 524 to 776 of the family's 1533-position model. The record is from RNAcentral.
UACGUAGGGUGCGAGCGUUGUCCGGAAUUACUGGGCGUAAAGAGCUCGUAGGUGGUUUGUCGCGUUGUUCGUGAAAACUCACAACUCAAUUGUGGGCGUGCGGGCGAUACGGGCAGACUGGAGUACUGCAGGGGAGACUGGAAUUCCUGGUGUAGCGGUGAAAUGCGCAGAUAUCAGGAGGAACACCGGUGGCGAAGGCGGGUCUCUGGGCCGAUACUGACGCUGAGGAGCGAAAGCAUGGGUAGCGAACAGG